RNAcentral lists this ribosomal RNA (460 nucleotides) under uncultured bacterium. RNAcentral's name for it is "partial 16S ribosomal RNA". It matches the Rfam family "Bacterial small subunit ribosomal RNA", at positions 338 to 795 of the family's 1533-position model. The record is from RNAcentral.
CCUACGGGAGACAGCAGUGAGGAAUAUUGGUCAAUGGACGAGAGUCUGAACCAGCCAAGUAGCGUGAAGGAUGACUGCCCUAUGGGUUGUAACCUUCUUUUAUAAAGGAAUACAACGAGGCACGUGUGCCUUUUUGCAUGUACUUUAUGAAUAAGGAUCGGCUAACUCCGUGCCAGCAGCCGCGGUAAUACGGUGGAUCCGAGCGUUAUCCGGAUUUAUUGGGUUUAAAGGGAGCGUAGAUGGGUUGUUAAGUCAGUUGUGAAAGUUUGCGGCUCAACCGUAAAAUUGCAAUUGAUACUGGCAGUCUUGAGUACAGUUGAGGUAGGCGGAAUUCGUGGUGUAGCGGUGAAAUGCUUAGAUAUCACGAAGAACCCCGAUUGCGAAGGCAGCUUACUAAACUGUGACUGACAUUGAUGCUCGAAAGUGUGGGUAUCAAACAGGAUUAGAUACCCGGGUAGUC